This is a non-coding RNA of Cricetulus griseus (Chinese hamster), 954 nucleotides long. The record is from RefSeq and is a predicted model, not a curated record. NCBI's taxonomy places the organism in Eukaryota, Metazoa, Chordata, Mammalia, Rodentia, Cricetidae.
CCCGGGCGACGCCUCUGGUCUUAAAGCGGUAGGAAACACUGACCUAGUUAGGGGAGCCAAGCAGCUCAGCUCACCCCUCUGUUUUGAGUCAUUUUCUUCUAGUCCUCCCUCGGAGCUAACCCGUUUUAAAUUAUGCAGGCAACUGUUUAUUGAAUUGGCCUCAUCCUAGGCUGUGGGACCAUUAUGACCUCAUAAUGUGGUUAAAACAAGCUGGUACGCACAGUUUCUGCUUGAUGUACCACUUCAUUUGUUUCGGGAAGUCAGAGGAGGUAACUCCUUGUUUGGGGAGAGGCCGCGGCGAUUUCACGCCGGACUGCGAAUGGCGAAAGACUAUUCCAAGCACAUAGUGGGGUGGGGAGUCUGAUGAAGCAGGCUUCAAAGGGACUGCCUUACCCUCUCCCAGGGUGGAAGCCAUUUGGGAUGGGCCCCAGCUUGAUAGUUUUUCCUCAAGAACAAAGCUGCCUUCUACGAUUGCAUAUCUGAUGGGAAAGAGGGGAGUUUCAGGAUCCUCAGGUUUGGAUCCUCUAAGAAAACUGCCCUAUCGAUCCAGCUGCCAGGAGUCACUGCAAAAGCAGCUUGGAAAGAAGCCUAUGCUGUAAGCCAGUGAGUUUCUACAGCUAUUAAUCAUUAAGGACAAAAAGCAACAAAAGAGAAUUACUCCCUGUGCUUAUGGGGAAAACAAAGUAGGAAAAACCAAUGAAAUGAAAACACCUGCAAAACAACGCCCAUCCUGAAACAUCCAACAUCUGUCAACAGAACUCAGCUCAGAAACAAAGACCAAACCAGAAUCUACCCGAGGCCCAGAUCCUACUUAGAAUUAAAAACCUUGGGCAUUGAGGGCUGGAGAGAUGGCUCAGAGGUUAAGAGCACUGACUGCUCUUCCAGAGGUCCUGAGUUCAAUUCCCAGCAACCACAUGGUGACUCACAACUCUCUGUUAUGAGAUCUGGUGCCCU